This 494-nucleotide ribosomal RNA is filed under the name uncultured bacterium. RNAcentral describes it as "partial 16S ribosomal RNA". It matches the Rfam family "Bacterial small subunit ribosomal RNA", at positions 28 to 507 of the family's 1533-position model. The record is from RNAcentral.
GACGAACGCUGGCGGCGUGCUUAACACAUGCAAGUCGAACGGAAAGGCCUGUCCUUCCUUGUGUUGGACGGGUACUCGAGUGGCGAACGGGUGAGUAACACGUGAGUGAUCUGCCCCCAACUUGGGUAUAAGCCUGGGAAACUGGGUCUAAUUCCCGAUAGGACUGCAGGGUGGUGCCUGUGGUGGAAAACGAUUUUCUAGUGGUUGGGGAUGAGCUCGCGGCCUAUCAGCUUGUUGGUGGGGUAAUGGCCUACCAAGGCGGCGACGGGUAGCCGGCCUGAGAGGGUGGACGGCGACAUUGGGACUGAGAUACGGCCCAGACUCCUACGGGAGGCAGCAGUGGGGAAUAUUGCACAAUGGGAGGAAGCCUGAUGCAGCGACGCAGCGUGGGGGAUGACGGCCUUCGGGUUGUAAACUCCUUUCGACCGCGAGGAAGCCGCCUGGUUGGAAGGGUGGUGACGGUAGUGGUAGAAGAAGCACCGGCUAACUACGUG